UCUGGAGACAGGUGCUGCAUGGCUGUCGUCAGCUCGUGUCGUGAGAUGUUGGGUUAAGUCCCGCAACGAGCGCAACCCUUGCCUUUAGUUGCCAGCAGUUCGGCUGGGCACUCUAAAGGGAACUGCCGGUGUUAAACCGGAGGAAGGUGGGGAUGACGUCAAGUCCUCAUGGCCUUUAUGACCAGGGCUACACACGUACUACAAUGGCCGAUACAAAGGGCAGCGGCACUGCGAGGUGAAGCCAAUCCCGUAAAAUCGGUCUCAGUCCGGAUUGGAGUCUGCAACUCGACUCCAUGAAGUUGGAAUCGCUAGUAAUCGUGGAUCAGCAUGCCACGGUGAAUACGUUCCCGGGCCUU
This 356-nucleotide ribosomal RNA is filed under the name uncultured Desulfobulbus sp. RNAcentral describes it as "bacterial SSU rRNA". It matches the Rfam family "Bacterial small subunit ribosomal RNA", at positions 1027 to 1382 of the family's 1533-position model. Lineage: Bacteria; Pseudomonadati; Thermodesulfobacteriota; Desulfobulbia; Desulfobulbales; Desulfobulbaceae. The record is from RNAcentral.